GCUGUGGUGUUCGAGUGGUUAAGAAGAUGGACUUGAAAUCCAUUGGGUUUUUCCCGCACAGACUCGAAUUCUGUCCGCAGCG
Molecule: non-coding RNA, 82 nt
Organism: Homarus americanus (American lobster)
Lineage: Eukaryota; Metazoa; Arthropoda; Malacostraca; Decapoda; Nephropidae
Source: the annotation of a RefSeq genome assembly